UCGAGAAUCUUCGUCAAUGGGGGAAACCCUGAACGAGCGACGCCGCGUGUGGGAUGAAGGCCUUUGGGUUGUAAACCACUGUCAGGGGGGAUGAAACCGCAAGGUUGACAGAGCCCCAGAGGAAGCACGGGCUAAGUUCGUGCCAGCAGCCGCGGUAAUACGAACUGUGCGAACGUUAUUCGGAAUCACUGGGCUUACAGGGUGCGUAGGUGGCCGGACAAGUCAGGUGUGAAAUCCCUCAGCUCAACUGAGGAACUGCGCUUGAAACUGUUUGGCUAGAGUGAGCUAGGGGUGCUUGGAACGGCCAGUGGAGCGGUGAAAUGUGUUGAUAUUGGCAGGAACACCGGAGCCGAAAGGGAAGCACUGGGGCUUAACUGACACUGAGGCACGAAAGCCAGGGGAGCAAACG
RNAcentral lists this ribosomal RNA (409 nucleotides) under uncultured prokaryote. RNAcentral describes it as "bacterial SSU rRNA". It matches the Rfam family "Bacterial small subunit ribosomal RNA", at positions 355 to 774 of the family's 1533-position model. The record is from RNAcentral.